Molecule: ribosomal RNA, 318 nt
Filed under: Staphylococcus aureus
Lineage: Bacteria; Bacillati; Bacillota; Bacilli; Caryophanales; Staphylococcaceae
Description: bacterial LSU rRNA
Rfam family: Bacterial large subunit ribosomal RNA
Source: RNAcentral
AGAUUAAGUUAUUAAGAGCGCACGGUGGAUGCCUUGGCACUAGAAGCCGAUGAAGGACGUUACUAACAACGAUAUGCUUUGGGGAGCUGUAAGUAAGCUUUGAUCCAGAGAUUUCCGAAUGGGGAAACCCAGCAUGAGUUAUGUCAUGUUAUCGAUAUGUGAAUACAUAGCAUAUCAGAAGGCACACCCGGAGAACUGAAACAUCUUAGUACCCGGAGGAAGAGAAAGAAAAUUCGAUUCCCUUAGUAGCGGCGAGCGAAACGGGAAGAGCCCAAACCAACAAGCUUGCUUGUUGGGGUUGUAGGACACUCUAUACGG